GUCUUACCAUGCAGUCGAGCGAGAAUGUUAUGACAGAUUCUUCGGAUGAUGGAUUAACAGGAAAGCGGCGGACGGGUGAGUAACGCGUGGGUAACCUACCUUACACAAAGGGAUAGCCACUGGAAACGGUGAUUAAUACCAUAUGAAGCUAUAGGGUCGCAUGAUCUUGUAGUUAAAGUGUUAGCGGUGUAAGAUGGACCCGCGUCUGAUUAGCUAGUUGGUGAGGUAAAGGCUCACCAAGGCGACGAUCAGUAGCCGGCCUGAGAGGGUGAACGGCCACACUGGAACUGAGACACGGUCCAGACUUCUACGGAAGGCAGCAGUGGGGAAUAUUGCACAAUGGGGGAAACCCUGAUGCAGCAACGCCGUGUGAGCGAUGAAGGCUUUCGGGUCGUAAAGCUCUGUCCUGAAGGAAGAAAAAAAUGACGGUACUUCAGGAGGAAGCCCCGGCUAACUACGUGCCAGCAGCCGCGGUAAUACGUAGGGGGCAAGCGUUAUCCGGAAUCACUGGGCGUAAAGGGUGCGUAGGCGGUCUUGCAAGCCAGAAGUGAAAGGCAAUGGCUCAACCAUUGUAAGCUUUUGGAACUGCUAGACUUGAGUGCAGGAGAGGUAAGUGGAAUUCCUAGUGUAGAGGUGAAAUUCGUAGAUAUUAGGAGGAACACCAGUGGCGAAGGCGACUUACUGGACUGUAACUGACGCUGAGGCACGAAAGCGUGGGGAGCGAACAGGAUUAGAUACCCUGGUAGUCCACGCCGUAAACGAUGAGUACUAGGUGUCAGCCCUA
RNAcentral lists this ribosomal RNA (784 nucleotides) under uncultured bacterium. RNAcentral's name for it is "bacterial SSU rRNA". It matches the Rfam family "Bacterial small subunit ribosomal RNA", at positions 46 to 831 of the family's 1533-position model. The record is from RNAcentral.